Molecule: transfer RNA, 98 nt
Filed under: Escherichia coli
Lineage: Bacteria; Pseudomonadati; Pseudomonadota; Gammaproteobacteria; Enterobacterales; Enterobacteriaceae
Also listed under: 4 other names
Description: tRNA-Gln(ctg)
Source: RNAcentral
UCUCAGGUAGGCCGGGCAGGGGAGGCACUACCGCUUCUGGUGUGGAAGAUGCCUGUGUUUCCGGGACAUAAAUCAGCGUUCUGACCGUGGUCUGUGCG